RNAcentral lists this unclassified non-coding RNA (304 nucleotides) under uncultured fungus. RNAcentral describes it as "partial contains 5.8S ribosomal RNA, internal transcribed spacer 2, and large subunit ribosomal RNA". The stretch from base 1 to 52 matches the Rfam family "5.8S ribosomal RNA", at positions 103 to 154 of the family's 154-position model. Lineage: Eukaryota; Fungi. The record is from RNAcentral. RNAcentral also lists the same sequence under 1 other name.
AACGCAUCUUGCGCUCCUUGGUAUUCCGAGGAGCAUGCCUGUUUGAGUGUCAUUAAAUUCUCAACUCUCUUAUACUGUUUGGUAAAAGAGAGCUUGGACUGUGGAGGCUUGCUGGCCACUUGUUUGAGGUCAGCUCCUCUGAAAUGCAUUAGCGGAACCGUUUGCGAUCUGCCACAAGUGUGAUAAAUUAUCUACACUGGCGAGGGGAUUGCUCUCAGUAAUGUUCAGCUUCUAAUUGUCUCUUUGUGAGACUACUUUUUGAAUACUUGACCUCAAAUCAGGUAGGACUACCCGCUGAACUUAA